Molecule: ribosomal RNA, 532 nt
Filed under: Pseudaulacaspis brimblecombei
Lineage: Eukaryota; Metazoa; Arthropoda; Insecta; Hemiptera; Diaspididae
Description: eukaryotic LSU rRNA
Source: RNAcentral
AUCUGGGCGGCGGAAUUCAGGAUGGCUGGGCGGGUUUCGCGCUUGUCCGGCCGUCUGAUAUUUCCGUCGCCGUGUCGGACGUCGCGACCUGUUCGUCGUCGGUCCUUGCUCGGAGGAAUUGUGAUCGAGUUCGCAGCGCGAUGCGUUCCGGCGUGUCGCGCGGCGAAGACGCGACUCUCUGGCCGACGGCAGACAGUAAGCAACGGUGUCCGGCGCCGUGUCUCGUACGCGGCGCCGGUGCCGGUCUGCGACGAUUUCUUCGGGCCUCUUUCCGACCCGUCUUGAAACACGGACCAAGGAGUCUAACAUGCGCGCGAGUCGCGGGGUUUCGAGUGCGCUACGGCGCGCUCGUCACUUGCGAAACCCGUACGUGGAAGGCGUAAUGAAAGUGAAUAGGGAAGAUGGCGUUCCGAGUCCACGUACCGUGAUCGAGUGUCGCGGCCGGACGUCCGCACUCCCGGGGCGUCUCAAUGGUUCGUCGCGGACGCGGACGAUCGUCUCUCGGGGCGAUCGUCGGUCUGCGCCGGACCGA